Molecule: ribosomal RNA, 261 nt
Filed under: uncultured prokaryote
Description: partial 16S ribosomal RNA
Rfam family: Bacterial small subunit ribosomal RNA
Source: RNAcentral
UACGUAGGUGGCGAGCGUUGUCCGGAUUUACUGGGCGUAAAGGGAGCGUAGGCGGACUUUUAAGUGAGAUGUGAAAUACCCGGGCUCAACUUGGGUGCUGCAUUUCAAACUGGAAGUCUAGAGUGCAGGAGAGGAGAAUGGAAUUCCUAGUGUAGCGGUGAAAUGCAUAGAGAUUAGGAAGAACACCAGUGGCGAAGGCGAUUCUCUGGACUGUAACUGACGCUGAGGCUCGAAAGCGUGGGGAGCAAACAGGAUUAGAUA